CCUACGGGAGUCUGCAGUGGGGAAUAUUGCACAAUGGGGGAAACCCUGAUGCAGCGACGCCGCGUGAGUGAAGAAGUAUUUCGGUACGUAAAGCUCUAUCAGCAGGGAAGAAAAUGACGGUACCUGACUAAGAAGCCCCGGCUAACUACGUGCCAGCAGCAGCGGUAAUACGUAGGGGGCAAGAGUUAUCCUGAUUUACUGGGUGUAAAGGGAGCGUAGACGGCAGCGCAAGUCUGGAGUGAAAUCCCAUGGCUUAACCAUGGAACUGCUUUGGAAACUGUGCAGCUAGAGUGCAGGAGAGGUAAGCGGAAUUCCUAGUGUAGCGGUGAAAUGCGUAGAUAUUAGGAGGAACAACAGUGGCGAAGGCGGCUUACUGGACUGUAACUGACGUUGAGGCUCGAAAGCGUGGGGAGCAAACAGGAUUAGAUACCCCAGUAGUC
This 440-nucleotide ribosomal RNA is filed under the name uncultured bacterium. Its description in RNAcentral is "partial 16S ribosomal RNA". It matches the Rfam family "Bacterial small subunit ribosomal RNA", at positions 338 to 795 of the family's 1533-position model. The record is from RNAcentral.